RNAcentral lists this ribosomal RNA (397 nucleotides) under uncultured bacterium. RNAcentral's name for it is "partial 16S ribosomal RNA". It matches the Rfam family "Bacterial small subunit ribosomal RNA", at positions 523 to 918 of the family's 1533-position model. The record is from RNAcentral.
AUACGUAGGGGGCGAGCGUUGUCCGGAAUGAUUGGGCGUAAAGGGCGCGUAGGCGGCCCGGUAAGUCUGGAGUGAAAGCCCUGUUUUUAAGAUGGGAAUUGCUUUGGAUACUGUCGGGCUUGAGUGCAGGAGAGGUAAGUGGAAUUCCCAGUGUAGCGGUGAAAUGCGUAGAGAUUGGGAGGAACACCAGUGGCGAAGGCGACUUACUGGACUGUAACUGACGCUGAGGCGCGAAAGUGUGGGGAGCAAACAGGAUUAGAUACCCUGGUAGUCCACACUGUAAACGAUGAAUGCUAGGUGUAGGGGGUAUCGACCCCUUCUGUGCCGCAGUCAACACAAUAAGCAUUCCGCCUGGGGAGUACGGCCGCAAGGUUGAAACUCAAAGAAAUUGACGGGG